AGAGUUUGAUCCUGGCUCAGAUUGAACGCUGGCGGCAGGCUUAACACAUGCAAGUCGAACGGUAGCAGGAAGAAAGCUUGCUUUCUUUGCUGACGAGUGGCGGACGGGUGAGUAAUGCUUGGGAAUCUGGCUUAUGGAGGGGGAUAACUGUGGGAAACUGCAGCUAAUACCGCGUAUUCUCUGAGGAGGAAAGGGUGGGACCUUAGGGCCACCUGCCAUAAGAUGAGCCCAAGUGGGAUUAGGUAGUUGGUGGGGUAAAGGCCUACCAAGCCUGCGAUCUCUAGCUGGUCUGAGAGGAUGACCAGCCACACUGGAACUGAGACACGGUCCAGACUCCUACGGGAGGCAGCAGUGGGGAAUAUUGCGCAAUGGGGGGAACCCUGACGCAGCCAUGCCGCGUGAAUGAAGAAGGCCUUCGGGUUGUAAAGUUCUUUCGGUAAUGAGGAAGGGAUGUUGUUAAAUAGAUAGCAUCAUUGACGUUAAUUACAGAAGAAGCACCGGCUAACUCCGUGCCAGCAGCCGCGGUAAUACGGAGGGUGCGAGCGUUAAUCGGAAUAACUGGGCGUAAAGGGCACGCAGGCGGACUUUUAAGUGAGAUGUGAAAUCCCCGAGCUUAACUUGGGAACUGCAUUUCAGACUGGGAGUCUAGAGUACUUUAGGGAGGGGUAGAAUUCCACGUGUAGCGGUGAAAUGCGUAGAGAUGUGGAGGAAUACCGAAGGCGAAGGCAGCCCCUUGGGAAUGUACUGACGCUCAUGUGCGAAAGCGUGGGGAGCAAACAGGAUUAGAUACCCUGGUAGUCCACGCUGUAAACGCUGUCGAUUUGGGGAUUGGGCUAUAUGCUUGGUGCCCGAAGCUAACGUGAUAAAUCGACCGCCUGGGGAGUACGGCCGCAAGGUUAAAACUCAAAGGAAUUGACG
This 918-nucleotide ribosomal RNA is filed under the name uncultured bacterium. RNAcentral describes it as "bacterial SSU rRNA". It matches the Rfam family "Bacterial small subunit ribosomal RNA", at positions 8 to 915 of the family's 1533-position model. The record is from RNAcentral.